Molecule: long non-coding RNA, 562 nt
Organism: Eucalyptus grandis
Lineage: Eukaryota; Viridiplantae; Streptophyta; Magnoliopsida; Myrtales; Myrtaceae
Exons: 3
Source: RefSeq, a predicted model, not a curated record
CAUUGCCCAUCUUUUCUUGAGUACCUCCAAUUGUAUGUUCAUUCUUUCAAAUUUUUCCUACAGAAAUGCAAUAUUUUCAUGGAGUUCAGAGUAGCAGGGUCUUCAGUGAAAGACAGAGCGUCAACACUCUUCACGACGUAUGUCAACAACGCUCCUUCCUAAUAUGAGAAGAAAAAGGAUGUGUGGCGUGAACAGGUUGUUGCAUAACUGAGGGCAAUUCAGCACAUGAUUUAUGGAGCAGAAAAGAGCAGCUCUGCUCCAGCCAGCGAUAGGUUAAACAUCUGACGGAUUCAUCACAAGUCUUGCAUGGACCAUCCUUCAUAUGACAGUUCCAGCAGCAGGGGAUGAUCGUGCAGGGAAGAAAGAAGAGGCAAUCAAGACAACCAUAGACCUCACCUGUUGCAGGGUUUGGUUGCCCAAAAUCGGCUUGGCUUCGCCAAAACUCCUCUUCUCUAGAAGCCUGGCUGGCAAGGCAUCCCACUGGCAGUAGGGUGGUCAACCUUGCAUCGGUUUCGUGACAUGCUAUCUUUCCCCUCUGCAUUCCAUAGUCAAGGGUGAGUCC